This 4191-nucleotide long non-coding RNA is filed under the name Capsella grandiflora. Its description in RNAcentral is "long non-coding RNA (CGRA_LNC001569)". The record is from RNAcentral. Lineage: Eukaryota; Viridiplantae; Streptophyta; Magnoliopsida; Brassicales; Brassicaceae.
CUGCUUCAAGAGUUUGUGGAGCUGAGGAUGAUCCCUCUCCUCGGUUGUUUAUAAGACAUUAUCGAUAGAGAGUUCUUGAUGUAUCGUAUCAUGUCAUCAGCAAUAGGUGAACCACACUCUUUCAUUGAUUUCACCAUGGCUAUAGAAUCUUCCAAGUCUUGGGUAUGCAAGCCUGUUUCACGGGACUUCUCCAAAAUGUUGCUGCGUUUCGGACGUGCUGUUGGAUGUAGUAAAGCCCUACUGAGGGUUCGUUUGCUAUGUACUUUAUCAUAUUCUUUAGUGAAAAUAUACAAAAGGAUAAUUUCUUUAACAANNNNNNNNNNNNNNNNNNNNNNNNNNNNNNNNNNNNNNNNNNNNNNNNNNNNNNNNNNNNNNNNNNNNNCCAUUCAAUUAACGUAUUAGUUUUGGGGUUUUAGUUUGAUUUUUAUUUUUUAACAAAAUGUUUUUUUGGUCUUCUAACAAAUUAACAAUUUGAUUUUUAGUUGAUACUUUUGGUUCGAGUAAUUUGUUAGAAAUUUUAUUUUUUGGGAAGAAAGUAGAAAAAAAAUUAUUCUUCUUUUGUUUAGUAGUUUAUUUGUUUUUGUCUUAUGUCAAUAUUUAUUUUGAUAGACAUUUUUUGUUUAGAACAUUGGAGGAAAAUAUUAUUAAGAAGACAUUGUUUGGUUUCAAAAUAUAAUAAUAACGAAAAAAUAUUAGUUAGAAUAUAUUGGUAUGAAAAUAUAUGAUAUGUAUGGAUUUAUAAUUUUAAUUUUGAUAAUUGAUAUAUAUGAAAUAGUGUAUAACCAUGAUGGAACUUGACACUUGCAUCUUUAAAACGUAUUGUUGUGUCUGUUGAUUUAUUCUAUGCUAAGGUGAAUUUGAUAGAUUGUCUUGGGAAUCCAAUUAGGGCACAAAAAAAGGAAAAAAAAAAUGUCUAGAUACGUGUGGGAGAAAGAAGUCACCAUCUAUGGUGUCUACUGCUCCAGGGUUUUGGAGAAACCUAUAGAGUGGAACCGGAGAGUCGAUUUCGUACCUAAUCCAGGACCAUGGCAGAGGAAUCACGAGAAGCUGCCCUCUGCACCAGAAGAACCUUUCUACACCCACAAUUUCCCCCCGCUUGUGACUGGCCCCUCUGUAGACCCACCAGCUCGGGGUCCCUUUGGAUGCAUACCGCUCUACGGUAGACUUGGACUUCAUUGCUACAAUCUUCAAAACGUUAGACAAAAAAAAACAAGAAACCAUCUUCUUCCAUCUACUAUUUUUUUUGGUUUUUGUAUAUAGCAUACCAAUUAUGUAAUAUCCAGUGGUUUAGUAUUAACUGUGAACUUUGCUUCUUUUUGAUCUUGUAAUUUGUAGGGGACAAACUUGCAAUUUAUGGCUCUAGUCAAGUAUUACUCAAGGAUAACCUCGAUAUCUUCUCAUCUGGUGACAUUAGAGGCACUCGAUCCAAGACGCAAUUCCUUGUGCGAGUUCGAAACUGAUGUCAGGCCUUCCAUUGAGCAUAGAGAUUGUUUGAGUGCAAUUAUAACCUGCUGCAGAUUAACGUCUCAAACUCCUCCAGGUUAAAUUGACCAGGGCUCACCUUUUUCUUGUUUUUUAGUUUUCCAUCUUUUUCGAUGUAACUAGUUUCACUCAUCUUUUUUAUUUGGUCUUGUCUAAUUGUAUCAGUGGAGGAAUCCAGCUCUUCUUAUUGCUUUGACAAACUUGCCGUGGAUCAUUUCUUCCGAGGUGCUAUGCCCGAAUGGAUGCCCGAGGGUGCGCUUACGGAAACUGAGAAGCUGGAAUGCUAUGAGGUGAGCCUUUUUAGUAGCUCUUGAAAAUAUUCAGAAAAGACCCAAUUUGAUGAAAAAAAGAUUGCAGAUGAAAGAAUCCGAGGUGGAAGAAGACAAGGAAUGGCUUCAUCUAUACGCGGAACUCGCAUUGUUUUCCAAGUGGAAAUCUAAGCUGGUGAGGAGGAUAAAAACUACUUGACGCUAAACAAUGUGAAGGAGAAUUUUGUCUAGGAGCUGUAUUGAUCUCUUGCUUUGUCUUGUUGUAUUGCAGGAAGAUCUCGAAUCUGCAAAGCCAUUUGAGCUGAGGAAGAUCAUUGUAAGAACCAAAGAAGAUGUGAAGCCGAAGAACAAGGUCAAGGCGGAUAACGCAAUCUUCUACAUUAGCUUCAAAACUCGUUGCGGUCAAGAAUGCAAUGCUAUCAUAAGGAAAACAACAGACGGAAUGCCAGAGAAUUUGUCGCUUGAAGUCAAGUGUUUCAUGUGAGACUCGUCUCAUUAUAUGUCUAACGUUUCUCAUAAAGUUUUUUGCAUUAAACUGUUUUCUAAACGACUAUUUUAGUGGUAUUGGAAUCGAGCUUUAGUCAUAACUUGGCCAUAAAGAAUGCAUAUAACAAUCAAUCCUAUGACUUCCUCUCUCUCUCUCUUUGGAAGACAAACCUAUCUCUUACUAAUACUAAUUCUCCCUCUCUCGUUCUCCUUUGAUACGGCUCAUCACUCUCUGCGUCUCUGAUUCUCUCUGUCUCUGCUCCUCUGUCUUAGAGAGAAACAGAGUCGGUGACUUGUCACUUACUCAACAUGAGACCUUUAGUAUCACUUAGAGAGUUUGUUUAAAGCAGAGUCCGUGUACUAGGAAGGUUUAACAAACCCUCUUAACUUGUCACAUAAUCAAAUUUGAGAAGUGAGACCUUCAGAAUCAGUUAAGAGAGUUUAUAAACACUUUGGCGCUAACCAUACUCAAACCUGCUGUAAACCGAUGCCUUCUCGUCCUUUUUCAAGCUCUAGUUCAGAUCACUUCAAGAUUGAAUCAUCAACCAACAAUCCCAACCUUUAUACUACAGCUUGAAUGACUUGAUGUGAGUUUUCUUAAACCUUGUUAAACCUCAGCCAUUACUCAUAUUGUUAAACAUACUAAUCACAUUAGUACAUUUAAACAUAAUGAAUCAUCAGUGAAACCGUUGAGAGCUCCAGAUGCGGGGUUCACCUCUGCAUUAUUUUGCUAACAACAAUCCUCAACCUCUUUCUUGGAGUUACAAAUCCAUCUCCAACACAUCCUAGUGUCAAACUCAAACUCCAGAGAUUCCUUAUCUCCUUCAUAGCAUGUACUACUGAUAAGAUCAUCAACAAGUAAAAUACCUUGAUUCAAGCACCUUAUUCAAACAAAACUUUACCAACAGCUUUAACCUCACUGCUACUACAUCUUAACUAAUCUCAUAUCAUCUGACCUAUGAUGAUCCUCCUAAGCCUUCAACAGCUCGUAUCCCGCCUAGAACUUCAGAUUGCAACCUUAGAUGCACAUUAAUCACUUUAUUACCUUUAUCGGCAUUAGGAUUUCACCAACCAACUUGGCUUCUGCAUCAUUGAACCUUCGACUUGACACUAGACCCUCUCCUUACCAAUUUUCCCUCCAUAAUGUCUCUGAUGAACUGUCUCUCCUCGCCUUGAUAAUCCAAUACAACACUAAUAAUAAUAGUUCAACACUGUAAAACACAUAUUAUUAUUUUUAAAGAUUUUAUGAGUAGAACAAUAUUUUACUGAAAACUCUUUGGUUUUGAAUCAUUUGAUGGACAGAUUAAUAAGAUUGUAAUGAAAGGUAAAGUCAAAAUUAACUCUUUUCUGUGAUAAUGAAGUGAGUAAUAUACAUGAAUAAACUGUCUUUCGUAACCAUAACGACAUUAAAACCUAAAUUCUCUCACCAACACGCCCACCAGCAUCCACAUUCCCAUCCAUAUCUCCAAGCCAUGCCUUGAGACUCGCUUCUUUACCUGCCUUGAACUCCUCAAACUUUGUCGUCUCCACAAUAUGUUCACCUUUCCUUGAGACUUCUUCUUCUUCUUUUAACUCAUUGCUUUCCACAUUGGGAUUAGACUCCGCCUUCUGUUCUUUAAAAUCAAGCUGUGGCCAUUUGAUGUUGCCUGCUUUCUCCUUAGCCGUCUUGAACACUGAUGUGAAUAAGUUGCUGCUUUCACUAUUAUCCUGGCUGAAAUCAGAACCACGGGCUGUUGUUGUAAUACUGUUAGAUCUGCUCCAAGAGCUUGUGGAGCUGAGGAUGACCCCUCUCCUCGGUUGUUUAGAAGACAUUAUGGAUAGAGAGUUCUUGAUGUCUCCAAUCAUGUCAUCAGCAAUAGGUGAACCACACUCUUUCAUUGAUUUCACCAUGGCUAUAGAAUCUUCCAAGUCUUCGGUAUGCAAGCCUGUUUCACGGGACUUGUCCAAAACGUUG